RNAcentral lists this unclassified non-coding RNA (329 nucleotides) under soil metagenome. Its description in RNAcentral is "partial contains 5.8S ribosomal RNA, internal transcribed spacer 2, and large subunit ribosomal RNA". The stretch from base 1 to 120 matches the Rfam family "5.8S ribosomal RNA", at positions 35 to 154 of the family's 154-position model. The record is from RNAcentral.
GAUGAAGAACGCAGCGAAAUGCGAUAAGUAGUGUGAAUUGCAGAAUUCAGUGAAUCAUCGAAUCUUUGAACGCACAUUGCGCCCCUUGGUAUCCCGAGGGGCAUGUCUGUUCGAGCGUCAUUUCACCACUCAAGCCUGGCUUGGUGUUGGGCGACGUCCCCUUUGGGGACGCGCCUCGAAACGCUCGGCGGCGUGGCACCGGCUUUAAGCGUAGCAGAAUCUUUCGCUUUGGAAGUCGGGGCCCCGUCUGCCGGAAGACCUACUCGCAAGGUUGACCUCAGAUCAGGCAGGGAUACCCGCUGAACUUAAGCAUAUCAAUAAGCGGAGGA